GUGUUUCGAACGUGACGUGGGUGAUUCGAACGUGACGUGGGUGUGACGUGGGAGAUUAGAACGUGACAUGUUUGUGAUGUGGGUGUGACGUGGGAAAUUCGAACGUGACGUGGGUGUGACGUGGGUGAUUUGAACGUGACGUGGGUGUGACGUGGAAAAUUUGAAGGUGAUGUGGGUGUGACGUGGGUGGUUCGAACGUGACUUGGGUGGGGCGUGGGAAAUUUGAAGGUGACGUGGGUGUGACGUGAGUGUGAUGUGGGUGAUUCGAAGGUGAUGUGAGUGUGACGUGGGUGUGACGUGGGUGGCCUCGCAAACUAGUGACCCCUGCUUUUCUUCGUUGCUUCGCAAACUAGCGAGCCCCUGAGUCUCUUCGCUUCCUCGCACAAAAGGAAACCACGGCGUCUCUUCGUUGCCUCGCAAAACAGCAAUCCCCUGCGUCUGUUCACUGCCUACCAAACAAGGAAACCACUGCGUCUCUUCGCUGUGUAGGAAACUAACCGCUGUGUCUGUUCGCUGCCUCGCAAAUUAUCUCACAGCUGUGUCUUUUCGCUGCCUCGUACCCAAGCAAACCGCUGCUUCUGUUCGAUGCGUAGGAAACUAACAGCUACGCCUCCUGGCUGCCUCGCAAACUAGCGAGCACAUGUGUCUGUUUGCUGCCUCGCACACAAGGAAACCGCUGCGCCUCUUCACUGCCUCGCAAAAUGAGUGACCGCUGUGGAUGUUCGCUGUCUCACAAACAAGGAGACUGCCUAAUCUGUUCGCUGCCUGGCGAACAAGCAGACUGCUGCGUCUGUUCGCUGCCUCGCCAACUUGCAAAGUGCAGCAUCGGGUCRCUUCCAGGCGAAAAACCAAUACGCGAUGCGACUACUUCAUCUAGUGGACAAGCAAACCGCUGCAUCUGUUCGCUGCCUCGCAGAAUGAGUGACCACUGUGGAUGUUCGGUGUCUCACAAACAAGGAGACUGCCUAAUCAGUUCGCCGCCUGGGGAAAACCCAGACCGCUGUGUUUCUUCGCUGCCUCUCAGAAUGAAUGACCACUGUGGAUGUUCGCUGUCUCACAAACAAGGAGACUGCCUAAUCUGUCCACUGCCUAUCGAACAAGCAAACCGCUUUGUCUCUUGGCUGCCUCGCAGAAUGAUUGAUCACUUUGGAUGUACAGACACUGUAAACCAAUCAUACAGCUAUUGCUAGUGCAUGCUUAUUGCUUGUCUAUAUAUACUCUGUGUAAGCUCUAAUAAAGGGAGAAUGACCAUACUCA
Molecule: long non-coding RNA, 1257 nt
Filed under: Apteryx haastii (Great spotted kiwi)
Lineage: Eukaryota; Metazoa; Chordata; Aves; Apterygiformes; Apterygidae
Description: lncRNA (ENSAHAG00000011045.1)
Source: RNAcentral